UGCAAUGAUGCAAUGAAGGUGAUGUUC
This 27-nucleotide non-coding RNA is filed under the name Mus musculus (house mouse). The record is from RNAcentral. Lineage: Eukaryota; Metazoa; Chordata; Mammalia; Rodentia; Muridae.